CAUUAGCUCAGUUGGUUAGAGCAGAGGACUCAUAAUCCUUUGGUCCUUGGUUCAAGUCCAA
RNAcentral lists this transfer RNA (61 nucleotides) under uncultured Treponema sp. It matches the Rfam family "tRNA", at positions 8 to 62 of the family's 71-position model. From Rfam's summary of the family: Transfer RNA (tRNA) molecules are approximately 80 nucleotides in length. Their secondary structure includes four short double-helical elements and three loops (D, anti-codon, and T loops). Lineage: Bacteria; Pseudomonadati; Spirochaetota; Spirochaetia; Treponematales; Treponemataceae. The record is from RNAcentral.